RNAcentral lists this ribosomal RNA (497 nucleotides) under uncultured bacterium. Its description in RNAcentral is "partial 16S ribosomal RNA". It matches the Rfam family "Bacterial small subunit ribosomal RNA", at positions 28 to 507 of the family's 1533-position model. The record is from RNAcentral.
GAUGAACGCUGGCGGCGUGCCUAAUACAUGCAAGUCGAACGAACAGACGAGGAGCUUGCUCCUCUGACGUUAGCGGCGGACGGGUGAGUAACACGUGUAUCACCUACCUAUAAUACUGGGAUAACUUCGGGAAACCGGAGCUAAUCCCGUAGAAUAUAUUGAACCGCAUGGUUCAAUAGUGAAAUGCGGUUUUGCUGUCACGUCUAGAUGGAUCCGCGCCGCUUUAGCUAGUUGGUACGGUAACGGCUUACCAAGGCGACGAGGCGUUGCCGACCUGCGAGGCGGAUAGCCGACAUUGGAGCGGAGACAGGGUCAAGACGACUACGGUACGCAGCAGUAGGCAACGGUCCGCAAUGGGCGAAAGCAUGACGGAGCAACGGCGCGCCAGUGAUGACGGUCUCGGGUUCGUAAUAAUCUGUUAUUAGGGAAGAACAAAUGUGUAAGUAAAUAUGCACUGAUUGACGGUAACUAAUAAGAAAGCACCGGCUAACUACGUG